This 895-nucleotide ribosomal RNA is filed under the name uncultured marine bacterium. Its description in RNAcentral is "bacterial SSU rRNA". It matches the Rfam family "Archaeal small subunit ribosomal RNA", at positions 459 to 1353 of the family's 1478-position model. The record is from RNAcentral.
CAGCAGCCGCGGUAAUACCAGCACCUCAAGUGGUCAGGAUGAUUAUUGGGCCUAAAGCAUCCGUAGCCGGUUGUGUAAGUUUUCGGUUAAAUCCAUGUGCUUAACAUAUGGGCAGCUGGAAAUACUAUACGACUAGGAAGUGGGAGAGGUAGACGGUACUCGAUAGGAAGGGGUAAAAUCCUUUGAUCUAUUGAUGACCACCAGUGGCGAAGGCGGUCUACCAGAACACGUUCGACGGUGAGGGAUGAAAGCUGGGGGAGCAAACCGGAUUAGAUACCCGGGUAGUCCCAGCUGUAAACAAUGCAAACUCAAUGAUGCAUCGGGUUGAACCCGGUGCAGUGUUGCAGGGAGGCCGUUAAGUUUGCCGCCUGGGAAGUACGUACGCAAGUAUGAAACUUAAAGGAAUUGGCGGGGGAGCACCACAAGGGGUGAAGCCUGCGGUUCAAUUGGAGUCAACGCCAGAAAUCUUACCCGGGGAGACAGCAGAAUGAAGGUCAAGCUGGAGACUUUACCAGACAAGCUGAGAGGUGGUGCAUGGCCGUCGCCAGCUCGUGCCGUGAGAUGUCCUGUUAAGUCAGGUAACGAGCGAGAUCCCUGCCUCUAGUUGCCACCAUUACUCUUACGAGCAGUGGGGCGAAUUAGCGGGACUGCCGUAGUUAAUGCGGAGGAAGGAAGGGGCCACGGCAGGUCAGUAUGCCCCGAAACCUUGGGGCCACACGCGGGCUGCAAUGGUAGUGACAAUGGGUUCCGAAUCCGAAAGGAAGAGGCAAUCCCCAAACGCUACCACAGUUAUGACUGAGGGCUGUAACUCGCCCUCACGAAUCUGGAAUCCCUAGUAACUGCGUGUCAUUACCGCGCGGUGAAUACGUCCCUGCUCCUUGCACACACCGCCCGU